This 253-nucleotide ribosomal RNA is filed under the name uncultured bacterium. Its description in RNAcentral is "partial 16S ribosomal RNA". It matches the Rfam family "Bacterial small subunit ribosomal RNA", at positions 524 to 776 of the family's 1533-position model. The record is from RNAcentral.
UACGUAGGUGGCAAGCGUUGUCCGGAUUUACUGGGCGUAAAGAGCGCGCAGGCGGUCGUUCAAGUCGCGUGUGAAAGCCCCCGGCUCAACUGGGGAGGGUCACGCGAUACUGAUCGACUCGAAGGCAGGAGAGGGUAGUGGAAUUCCCGGUGUAGUGGUGAAAUGCGUAGAUAUCGGGGGGAAUACCAGUGGCGAAAGCGGCACCCUAGCGUUAGCCUGACGCUCAUGUGCGAAAGCGUGGGGAGCGAACGGG